This 304-nucleotide long non-coding RNA is filed under the name Homo sapiens (human). RNAcentral describes it as "HSALNT0167393". Lineage: Eukaryota; Metazoa; Chordata; Mammalia; Primates; Hominidae. The record is from RNAcentral.
UCCAAACCCAGUCCAGGUAAUCCAGAUAGAGCUGAGGACUGUGCUUAAGCUCUCUAUGCCAGCUCUGAGACAAGGAUAAGGUAGAAGGGGGAAGGGUCUUGCUUGAAGGUCCCUCACGGUUUCCCUAGAAAUGGUAGAUCUUAAGCCUCCCCACAAGGUAACAGCAGACCCCAGGCUUUCUAGGCUAACUAUGUGAUGUUCAAGUCUUCCUUCUCCUGUAUCCAGGCAACCAGAUGCCCCAGGAGAAUUCCCAACACUGCAAAGCUACAAUCACGUGCAACUCUUCCAAAGCCGUGCUGUGUUA